UUAUUUCCAAUUUUAUAAUCUAAAUAACCCAAAUUAUUGCUGUUAAUUAUUUACAGUGUAAGAUUAAAAACGGUAGAUAGAAGAAGUUAUGGCGGGUUUAGAGAGCGGUAGAGGAAGCGCCGGUGUGUCUACCGCCGAGCAAAGCUAAUGGGUUCAGACAGUGGCAGAGAAAAGAAAGGUCAGCCAUGACACUCCAUGUUUGUGUCCUUUGUGAAAUCUCUGCCUCUCGCUAUCUACAGCAGCCUGGUGGCAAUAUUCUGCUCAUGUGGAGCCAAAAAUGAUACAGCAGGUUUCACAACUCAGGGGAUUUUAUUUCACCGCCAGUUAUGUGUCAAGAUUGUCACCUGCGACAACAGGGUCGCCAUGUCAGGUAACGCCAGAGUCACGUUCCUCUGAUUGGGCGGAAGUGACCGGAACCGCUGCCGCUACUGCUGGAUUAUUUCUUAACCGCAGCUUUUAAAAGACUGCCAGCUAAAACCUAAUUGCUGCCCAGCAGCAACGGAGAAAGCUGGACGUUAAGCCUGCGGCUGGUGGUACAGGAGAGUGGGAUUCCUGUGGAAGCAGCUGUCUCCGUGGGACCGGCCGUUAAAUCCCCGCUGUCAGCUGCCGGCCGCUGCCUCGUGAAACAGCAUCGAUAAGGUGAAGGGUGAAAACUGUGGCGCCGUGGAUCUGCAGCCGGGUUGCCUAGCAGCAAACUGAAUGCGACCUGAACACGCCGUCUCCCCCUGCGCGGCGGCGAGCGUCGCCUUCUCUGGAAGAGAGCGGCGUGAUGAAGCGACCCGGGACCAGCUGUGCUGCUCAGCAUCGCUCUCCAUCUUCCCCGGUCCUGGCUGACCCAUUUUCAGGAAACACCGAGGGAACAAACCAGAUGUGAACCUGCCUGGAGAGAUCAGCGGUGACAUAAUGACUCACACACACACACACACACACACGAGCGACUGCAGCGCUGCUCUGGGUCGUUUACAGGUGAAACAUAAAUACAUUGAUUACAGCUGAUUGGGGAAAUUUUCUUCUUACUCGGACCUGAUUAUACGUUCCAGAUGUUUUCUACCCAGGUUAUUUACAAUAUAAUUAUUAAAAAAUCAUUUUUAAGUGAGUUAAUUGUGCGGUCUGUGAUUCAUUAAUCAAAUUUUAGUCAAAAUAAGCAACAUUUUCAAUUCAUUUCAGCUAUGACAGUUAUAUCAGUAAUACGGUGAAAAAAAUGACUUAUCAUCCUGACAUUUUUUUUCUCUGAGGGGCUUCAUCAAAAUAUUGCAAAUUUUUUUUUGUAUGUAAGUGUACAAAUGAUACAAAUAGUUAAAUUCAUGUAAUGUGAGCAGAUACAUUUCCACAAAAUACAGACAAGCAGUGAACUGAGUGCAAAUAUUACUCUUGGUUUGAUGUUUAAAGAAAAUAUUUUCAUAAAAGCAUCUUCUUCCUCCUGCUGAAAGCAGACAUGAGGCGGCUGACUUUCCUCUGCUGGGACAGUUGCUGUUUUAGCAAACCUGUAAAUAAAUAAUCAGCAGCAUCACGCAAGCAGAACGUGUGAAGAUGUUCAGCCAUGAUUUUAAUCAAACAUGAACAGUGUGAACACGAAAGGCAGCUUUUCCCAUGUUGGGUGGUGAAAUGAUCAGAAAACCAAGCAUCUGAACAAACAGCCAGAAACCAGCCAUCAAACAGCAAAACGUUGCAAUCAGUCAGAAACGUCUCCAUCUUCACUCUGAACAAAACUCUCUAAGCAUCUUCAAUUUGAUUAAAACUUACACAACUCAUUAGGCAGCUAUGAUUGAAUAAUCAUCGAAAGCCACGGUCACCGCUCAGGUUACCAUGGAAACGACAACAGAAAACUUAGAAAGUAUUCACACCUCUUAAACUUUAUCACAUAUCCUCACCAAUAACCACAACCUAUGAUAUCGGAGAACCUAAAGCAGGGGAAUGCAACCCAAAUCCGAUAUUUUCACCUAUAAAAAUCAGAUUUGAGGAACUAAAUUGUCGGCCUGUCACAAUAACAAACUUUUCUGGACAAUAAAUCGUCCCAGAACUUAUUGCGAUGAACAAUAAUGUUGUUUUGACACAAUUUUCCAGUCAUAUAAUGGCAUAACAAAGCAAGAACACAUUCUCAAAGAUUAAUAAACUGUAAAUUCUAGUGAACAGUUAGCACUAGAGCUGGAAGACAUUUUAAAUAUCCAAAAUAAACAACAAAUAAAAUUAAUUACA
This is a long non-coding RNA of Xiphophorus couchianus (Monterrey platyfish), 2196 nucleotides long. RefSeq lists it as uncharacterized. The record is from RefSeq and is a predicted model, not a curated record. NCBI's taxonomy places the organism in Eukaryota, Metazoa, Chordata, Actinopteri, Cyprinodontiformes, Poeciliidae. The transcript has 3 exons.